GUCUCCGUAGGUGAACCUGCGGAGGGAUCAUUACUGAGUUUUUAACUCUCCAAACCAUGUGAACUUACCACUGUUGCCUCGGUGGUCGGUGCUGGAAACAGUGCUGCCACCGGUGGACUACUAAACUCUUGUUAAUUUUUGUCAAAUCUGAAUCAAAACUAAGAAAUAAGUUAAAACUUUCAACAACGGAUCUCUUGGUUCUGGCAUCGAUGAAGAACGCAGCGAAAUGCGAUAAGUAAUGUGAAUUGCAGAAUUCAGUGAAUCAUCGAAUCUUUGAACGCACAUUGCGCCCAUUAGUAUUCUAGUGGGCAUGCCUGUUCGAGCGUCAUUUCAACCCUUAAGCCUAGCUUAGUGUUGGGAGACUGCCUAAUACGCAGCUCCUCAAAACCAGUGGCGGAGUCUGUUCGUGCUCUGAGCGUAGUAAUUUUUUAUCUCGCUUCUGCAAGCCGGCCAGACGACAGCCAUAAACCGCACCCUCUCGGGGGGCACUUUUUUAAUGGUUGACCUCGGAUCAGGUAGGAAUACC
Molecule: ribosomal RNA, 526 nt
Filed under: Microdochium bolleyi
Lineage: Eukaryota; Fungi; Ascomycota; Sordariomycetes; Xylariales; Microdochiaceae
Description: eukaryotic LSU rRNA
Rfam family: 5.8S ribosomal RNA (bases 175-328)
Source: RNAcentral